CCUACGGGAGGCAGCAGUGGGGGAUAUUGCACAAUGGGGGAAACCCUGAUGCAGCGACGCCGCGUGGGCGAAGAAGUAUUUCGGUAUGUAAAGCCCUAUCAGCGGGGAAGAAGAAUUGACGGUACCUGAGUAAGAAGCACCGGCUAAAUACGUGCCAGCAGCCGCGGUAAUACGUAUGGUGCAAGCGUUAUCCGGAUUUACUGGGUGUAAAGGGAGCGCAGGCGGCACGGCAAGCCUGAUGUGAAAGCCCGCGGCGCAACCGCGGGACUGCAUUGGGAACUACCGGGCUGGAGUGCCGGAGAGGUAGGCGGAAUUCCUGGUGUAGCGGUGAAAUGCGUAGAUAUUAGGAGGAACACCAGUGGCGAAGGCGGCUUACUGGACUGUAACUGACGUUGAGGCUCGAAAGCGUGGGGAGCAAACAGGAUUAGAUACCCCAGUAGUC
This 442-nucleotide ribosomal RNA is filed under the name uncultured bacterium. RNAcentral's name for it is "partial 16S ribosomal RNA". It matches the Rfam family "Bacterial small subunit ribosomal RNA", at positions 338 to 795 of the family's 1533-position model. The record is from RNAcentral.